GUGAAUCAUCAAAUUUUUGAACGCAAAUUGCACUCCCUUCGGAGAGUAUGCCUGUUUGAGGGUCAGCCUCAAAAAACUCGACAUAUUUUAUGUUACGCGGUAACAUUCGUCGUAAAUUGGGUCACCUUAAACCUUUGUGUUUAAGUGGCUUAAAAUUUUCCUUACGAUUCCAAGAAUGUUUCUAAGAUUUUAUUUUCUUAUACGUUCAAGUUAUCGAUCUUUAUUAGUCGUCGCCGUUGCAUCGGAUUUUGUCCA
Molecule: unclassified non-coding RNA, 255 nt
Filed under: Glomus sp.
Lineage: Eukaryota; Fungi; Glomeromycota; Glomeromycetes; Glomerales; Glomeraceae
Description: partial contains 5.8S ribosomal RNA and internal transcribed spacer 2
Rfam family: 5.8S ribosomal RNA (bases 1-65)
Source: RNAcentral